Molecule: ribosomal RNA, 497 nt
Filed under: uncultured bacterium
Lineage: Bacteria
Description: partial 16S ribosomal RNA
Rfam family: Bacterial small subunit ribosomal RNA
Source: RNAcentral
GAUGAACGCUGGCGGCGUGCCUAAUACAUGCAAGUCGAGCGAACGGACGAGAAGCUUGCUUCUCUGAUGUUAGUGGCGGACGGGUGAGUAACACGUGGAUAACCUACCUAUAAGACUGGGAUAACUUCGGGAAACCGGAGCUAAUACCGGAUAAUAUUUUGAACCGCAUGGUUCAAAAGUGAAAGACGGUCUUGCUGUCACUUAUAGAUGGAUCCGCGCUGCAUUAGCUAGUUGGUAAGGUAACGGCUUACCAAGGCAACGAUGCAUAGCCUACCUGAGAGGGUGAUCGGCCACACUGGAACUGAGACACGGUCCAGACUCCUACGGUAGGCAGCAGUAGGGAAUCUUCCGCAAUGGGCGAAAGCCUGACGGAGCAACGCCGCGUGAGUGAUGAAGGUCUUCGGAUCGUAAAACUCUGUUAUUAGGGAAGAACAUAUGUGUAAGUAACUGUGCACAUCUUGACGGUACCUAAUCAGAAAGCCACGGCUAACUACGUG